UACGUAGGGGGCAAGCGUUGUCCGGAAUCAUUGGGCGUAAAGAGCGUGUAGGCGGUCUGGUAGGUCCGUUGUGAAAACUCGAGGCUCAACCUCGAGACGCCGAUGGAAACCAUCAGACUAGAGUCCGGAAGAGGAGAGUGGAAUUCCUGGUGUAGCGGUGAAAUGCGCAGAUAUCAGGAGGAACACCGGUGGCGAAGGCGGGUCUCUGGGCCGAUACUGACGCUGAGGAGCGAAAGCGUGGGGAGCGAACAGG
Molecule: ribosomal RNA, 253 nt
Filed under: uncultured bacterium
Lineage: Bacteria
Description: partial 16S ribosomal RNA
Rfam family: Bacterial small subunit ribosomal RNA
Source: RNAcentral